Molecule: unclassified non-coding RNA, 373 nt
Filed under: uncultured bacterium
Lineage: Bacteria
Description: contains 16S-23S intergenic spacer region
Source: RNAcentral
UCCGGUUUGGCACCGGCAGUCUCUUUAGAGUCCCCACCAUUACGUGCUGGCAACUAAAGACAGGGGUUGCGCUCGUUGCGGCACUUAAGCCAACACCUCACGGCACGAGCUGACGACAGCCAUGCAGCACCUGUGCUAGCCCCUUACGGACACGGGCUUUCACCCGCUUUAACUAGCAUGUCAAGCCUAGGUAAGGUUCUUCGCGUUGCAUCGAAUUAAGCCACAUGCUCCGCCGCUUGUGCGGGUCCCCGUCAAUUCCUUUGAGUUUUAACCUUGCGGCCGUACUCCCCAGGCGGUGGGCUUACCGCGUUAGCUCCGGCACCGAGGGGCAAGCCCCCAACGCCCAGCCCACAUCGUUUAGGGCGUGGACUAC